Molecule: long non-coding RNA, 8066 nt
Filed under: Marmota monax (woodchuck)
Lineage: Eukaryota; Metazoa; Chordata; Mammalia; Rodentia; Sciuridae
Source: RNAcentral
CUUACUUUGUACAAUUAACUUCUUUGUUCCUCAGUUGCCCUUUUCUGUAAAAUGUAAUUCAAAUAUAUUUCAAUGCACUCAUCAUGGAAAGGAAGAGCCUUUGAGUUGAAACUAUUUUCGUGCUUUGUUGUUGUUGGUGGUUGUUUUGUUGUGUUUCUUUUUAAUAAUGCAUCAGGUCCCACCCAACAUGGAGUGGUACCUAUCUGAGUAGGUACAAUAUUGAAGUGGAAAGGAGAAUAUUACCUACACUUAUGGAGGAACAUAGAGGGACCAUGGCUCAUCAGAGACUCCAGAUAAAUAAAUAACAUUUGUGUCAACUUGAAGAAACCAAUACAAUUGCAGCAGUGCCAAAAUACAUAGCUGUUCCUCCACUAAGGCCAAGGAAGAGGCUGUAGUAGCAGAAACGAAAGAGUGGGCACUCAUCUCUGCUGUCUAAACCUGUUCUAAAGCAUAUACCUUAGUAUAUAAAGCAUAUACCUCUACCAGUAACAGAAGGAAAUGAAAAGGAAACUGAGGCUUUGCAUAUGUUAGGGGUGGAGAAGAAGAGACAAUCAAGCAGCUCAUAUUUAUUCUAUACUCAUUACUUCAUCUGAUCUAUUCAGCAGUCGUGUGUGAUAUUUUCUCCAUAUUGCACAUAAAAGAGUGUGACAUUAAUGUACAUACAAUAAUUUCCUGUUUAUACUUCUAGCCCAGAUUUUCAAUUAUCACUUAAAAUUUAUCAUCUUUUUGAGUUUUUGCAAGUAUUUAUCAUCAAGUGCUUACCGUUUUAUAAGCCAACUAACACGUUACUCUCAUUUUCUUCUUUUUAAAUUCUUUAUUAAUUUUUAUGACACAGACACAUUCUUUUGGAAAAAGGAGAAAAUAGAGAUUUGCAAAAACUACAAAAGAAAACACACUUUCCCAUGAAUCUGCCUCUUAGAAACCAGCAUUUUUAGUGUUUUGUUUACAUCUGCUAUGCAUAUAUGUGAUAUACAAGUGGACAUAUUUCUGAUUGAGAUAUCAUAUAUAUGUGCAUGUGUACGUAUAUGUGUGUAUGAUUUGACCUAUAUAUGACAUUUUCUGUGCAAUUUGUAAAAAUUCCUAAUUAAAGUAUAGAUUUGCAUAUGGAGUAAUGACAAAAUCCAAUGAGCAAUGAGAUACCAGUGACAAUAGAAACAAAUGAAUUGCUUUCCUUCUUUCUUUCUUUUUUGGUACCAAGGAUUAAACCCAGGGGUACUUAACCACUGAGCCACAUCCCCAGCCCUUUUUUAUAUUUUAUUUUGAGACAGGGUCUCACUAAAUUACUUAGAGCCUCACUAGAUUGCUGAUGCUGGCUUUGAAUUUGUGAUCCUCCUGCCUCAGCCUCCCGAAUCACUGGGAUUAUAGGUGCGCACCACCACACCUGGCAACAACAGGAAUUUCUAAAACCAGUACUAUCAAAUGGUUAAAAUAAAAAGAUGAGCAAAGGUAUGACUAUAAAAUGCAACCAACAAUGAAAAUGACCUUCUAAUAAUAUCAGAAAAAAUAAUUUAAGACAAGCCAGGUGUGCAUGUCUAUAAUCCCAGAAAUUUGGGAGACCAAGGCAAGAGUAUUGCAAGUUCAAGGAUAGCCUCAGCAAUUUAGCAAGUUCCUAUCUCAAAAUAAAAAUAAAAAGGGCUUGGGAUAUAAUGCCCCAGGGUUCAAUCCCCCCCACAUCAAAAAAAAAAAAAAAAAAGAACUAAGUGGGAUAAGGUCAUUUCUUAUUUUCCUGGAUAGAUAGUACUUGUUGUUAGUUAUUAUUUCUAUGGCUUCCUUUCCUUCAACGCGUUCCAAAGCUAGCUCUGCCUCUACAUUCUGAACCUUUUCUUCAUUUCCCUUUGUGUGUUUUUCACAUUGAGAUUUAUUUUCCCUUUUUCUUCUUUGAAUGCAAUUACUCAUUAGGGGGAAAAAGAGAGGGAAUGUUGUGUGCUAUUUAUGCCAGCACCCAUUUGCUUCCCUGGACCAGGGAAAUGAGUGCAAAGGUUUCAUCUUCUAUUCCACUCCUGUAUUCCUCCAGAUUCUUGCCUUUAUCACAAACCCAAAGAGCUAUUUUACCAGCCUCUUCCUGACUGAAUGAGGGGUAAAUAGGGGCAGUGUUUCCUACCAGCUUUGUUCUGGCCUGGGCCAUAUCUACCAUUUUACCCUCUGCCCUCAGGGUUGCAGUCCAGAGCACCACACAAAACAACCUGUGCAUAUCCCCAAGCAGUUUCUUCUUCCUUUUUUUGUUCUUGAGACAUGCCUGAUAGACAUUCACACCUAUAGACAGAGGCACAGAAUGCUCAAUGGACUUACCCAUAAAAUAGACAAAGAUCUUUUUCACGAUUAGCCACCCAAUCUCCUCAAGUCUCAAGGAUUCCCCUUUCCACCCCUGUUCCACCCUCAUCUUCUCCUGUCUCAUCCCCAUCUCCAGUUGCAAAAUGCCCACCAUAUUGUAUUAGAGGAAUAAUCUCCAUUUAUCCACUUCUCUGAGUAAAUAAGCAUCAUUUCUUUUGCCUCCUCCCCUCUUCAUCUCAAGGCUCCUCAUCCCUGUGCUUAUUGACCAUUUCCCUGCAGGCAGGGUAGAAAGGAAGCAGAUUAUUUACAACCCCCAGGUAUAUGUUUUCCAUUAUGACCUUCUUUCUUCAGCCCUUCCCUCCAUCCCAAAGAGAUGUCCAUCAAACAGAUCAGGACUAGCCACUUCCUCUUGUUUACACCACACCACCUUGGAAGAGGUCCAGUUGCUCACACUGAGUUGCUCCAUUCUAGGGCGAUGGUUUCUUUUACCUUGCCCUUUGGGCCAGACACCAGUGCCCCAACUAGCCCUAGACUGCCUUAAUAGAAAAGAGAAGGGUUGCAAAGGUUGCAAAGAACUAGAAAAGGAGGCUUAUGAAUGCCUGAGCAACUGGUCACAUGAGGGCUUUAUCUCAACCCAAACUUCACUGCCCACAUCUGUAUCCCCACCUUCAACUCUUGCUGGCAAGCAGUGCAGUAGGAGCCCCUACCACACACACACAGAAUCAUCUCCAUCCCCCUCUUUGCAUCUAACUCCAGCCAGCACACGCAUUAAUUCUGAGGAGCCACAAGUGGCAUCUCCUCCAUAUGUUUGGAGUUUACCUGUGGUAACUAAGGGAGGUCUGCACCACUCCCAUCUCCCUAAUACACCUACCUUCCUCAUCACUCCCAACAGGCUUUGAUUUCUCUUACCUGUCUCUCCUGACACAGUCCUUCUUCCUGAUCCCAACCCAAGCCCCCAGUGCCUUCCUAGUACCUUGCUUUUGUUGUCAUACAAGGUGGAGGGGAUCUAUAUUGUAGUUUUUAUUAAUUCUCAAUGCUUCCUUCCAUAGUUUCUUUAAAAAUUAUAAAUAAUUAAAAUGUUUUCAUUUGUGAAGAGAAAGAGGUUUUGCUGUUGUUGUUUGUUUCAUGAUUCCAGGCAUGAACCCAGGGCUUCAAGCAUUCUAGGCAGGCACUCGACCACUAAGCUAUAUCUCCAGCACUUUUUAAAAUUUUAUUUUGAGAAAGAGCCUCAUUAAACUUCUCAGGCAAUCAUUGAACUUGCCUACUUCAGCUUCUCAAGUAGCUGGGAUUACCAGUGUGUGCCACCAACCCUGCAAGGAGAAAAGUUUUUAAGGCCUUUAUUUAACAUUCUUCUAGCUCCAGAUUCAACUUAAGUAUUACUCCUUUUGUAGUUCUUGGUUAUUGCUUUAAAUUGUUAUGCCAGAAACUUUAGAAGAAGCAAAGGAUUUGAAACACCAAUUCAAGUUUAUGCUCCUAGAAAGAGGUUGUUUCCCAUUAUUAUUGUGAUCAUUUAGCUACUUCAAUAUAAAUGCUACCUGAAAUUUUUAAAGAGAUUAGAAAGGAGAAAGAUCUUUCUAGGGAAUGUGGCAUUGUUGCCACAUUCAUUAAGUAACUAUUAAAGUGGAAAAAUUUUUUUUCUGUCUCAAAUCCUCAACAAGCUGCAUUUUGGCCUGUGUGCUCCCAAAAGUAUAUAUGCAAACACACACACACACACACACACAUACACACACCAAUUCAGAUGCAUUCUGUGUGUGUGUGUGUGUGUGUGUGUGUGUGUGUGUGUGAGAGAGAGAGAGAGAGAGAGAGAGAGAGAGAGAGAGAGAAUGAGAAUAAUGGAAAUAGUGGGGAAACCUAACAGGGCCUGUCCAGAUUCUUCAUUUCCCCUCUGUGUAGUAUUCCUUUCUAUGAGGCAUGGGGCAGGACCGUUUUUGGAAUGGGAGUGUUAUGAUGUACUAUGAGACAAGGUAAGUUGGAGAAUUUCUUUCUGGUCAGCUCUAAGACAAAAGGCAAGAGAAGAUUAGAAUAAUAUUCUUUUAAGUUUUAUGCCUUGUUCUGGGUAGUUUCUAAGAUCUUAGAAGAGAAAUUCUAAUUUUCAUGGUUUGCCUUGAGGGCAGAAAUCAAUGCAGGAAGGUCUGGGGAUGUAGCUUAGUGGUAGAACACUUAGCAUCAAUCCCCACUACUGCCAAAAAUAAAAGGAAGGUGAGAGAGAGGUGGGGGGGAAGAGGGAGAGGGAGAGACAGAAGGAAAAAGAGAACAAAUGCAGGAAGGUAGGAGAGCAGAGAGAAAAUUUACUUCUGAAGCUGUUUCUGAAGCCUUUACUUUAGAAUAUCAUACUUUGAGCCCCAAGAUAUACUUACAGGAGUUUUACAUUGCUGAACUGAACUGGACAAUCCAAUUCCUUUAAAAUAAAUCAUUCAGUGUUGGUUUAUACUCAUUAUAACAUUUAUUGACUACAUGAUAAUAGCAGCUGUAAAUCAUCUUAGCACAUGCUUAACUCAAACACUAUCAUUUCUGAAGCACUUGCUAUGUACCAGGUUUUAAUUGGAUAUUAUUCUUCAAUCCACAGAAAAGUCUUUUGAGGCACAUAUUGUUAUUGUCCCAACUUUACAGACAGAAAAAAAAAAUAGAUAUGUAGUUUAAAUAACUUGCCCAGAGUCUCACAGCUAGUAAUUGUAAAGCUGAAUUUGAAUCCAAAUAUUUUAACAACUUCCCACCUUGUAAUCAGAGUCAAUGCUAUUUUGUAGUUCCCCUGAAAUGUUGGUAUCCUUUAGGGUUUUUGUUUAGAACUUUUCUUCUUUAAGUGUUUGUAUUAGCUUUCUAUUGUUGCUGUAACAACUGAUCAUAAAUUUUGUGGGUUUGAGCAAUAGAAAUUUAUUAUGUUCUGGAAGACUGAAUUCUGAAUUGAGUAUUAUAAGGCUAAACUGAAGAUGUAGACAGGGCUGGUUCCUUCUAAAUGCUCCAGGUGAGAAUGUGUUUCUUUAUUCUUUCAGCUUUGUUUGACUGGUAACAUUUCUUGGCAUAUAGUUCCAUCACUACAAUUUCUGCUUCCAUUAUCACAUUUUUGUAGUUUUUAUUCCUCUGAUGCGAAAUUUUUUUCUGCCUUCCUUUCAAGGAUGCUUGUCAUUAUAUCUAGGGUCCACCCAGAUAAUCUCCCCAUCUCAAGAUCCCUAACAUCACAUCUGCAAAGUCCCUUUUAGCACAUAAGGUAAAAUUUACAUGUUCCAGGCAUUAGGACCUAGAUAUUUGGGUGAGGGGGUUAUUCAGUCUAUUACAGAUGAUCUUCUGAUUUUCACUACCAUGUAAGCAUUGACUCUCAAAAGUAUCCCUCCAGCAUAUAUCUCUAGCUCGCUCGCUCUCGCUCUCCCUCCCCUCCCCUCCCCUCCCCUCCCCUCCUCUCCUCUCCUCUCCUCUCCUCUCUUGAGUUCCAUACUAUUUUGUGUAUAUGAUGGGGAUUAAACCUAGGGUCUCACACAUGCUAACAUAAGCUCAAUCAUUGAGCUACACCCCCCUCCCAAGUGCUAUACUAUUUUAUCUGAAUUAUCUUUGAGUUUUCCACCUAAAUGUCUCACUUUGAAAUAUAGAUAGCAUCUUUCUUAGUUCUUCUCUCAUCAUACCCAAAAAUCUCUCUCUGGAGAUUCUCUCUAAGUUAAUGAUAACUGGGAUUCAAGUAAUGCCCCAAGCCAGACUCUCUCUGAGUGCCAAUAAUGUUUUUGUUAUUGUUGUUUUGAUACUAGGGAUUGAACCUAGGAGCAACUGCCUCCUUUCUGGUCUCCCUAUUUAAAGAAUUGCUCCUAUCCCUUAAAAAGAUAAUUCCAGAAUACCAUAUAGAACGAUGUCACAUUCAACAAUCAUUAAAUAGCCCUGUGAAGUUGGCAUAUCUUUGGGAAAUCUUUAGUCUGCAAUAGCACAAUUCUCCAAGACAAAAAUAAACUUGACUUGUUGAGAACAUUUUCAUAUCAGUUUGUUUUGUUUUGAUUCAAUACCAGGGAUUGAACCCAAAGGAGCUUAACCAUUGAGUCACAUUCCCAGCCUGUUUUAUUAUUUCUUUUAAUUUAAAGACAGGGUCUAAGUUACCUAGGGCCUUGCUAAACUGCUGAGGCUGGCCUCAAACUUGUGAUCCUCCUGCCUCAGCCUCCAGAGUUGCUGGGACAACAGGUGUGUGCCAUGUCACUGUGCCUUGCUCUUAUCAGUUUUAAGAUGAUGUUAGAGAUGAACUCCACCUGUGGAGGAAAUUGUGGCUCUUUGGAGUGGGGCAAAUUCCAAGAGAAUACUCUAUUAGAGCCCUGAUGCAAUUCUAAUCAGAAUCCAACUUCACUUUUAGCCCUUGUGUAAAUACAGAAUAUGAUACUCCUUUUUAAAAACCUUUUUUUAGUUGCAGAUGGACAUCUACAACUUUAUUUUAUUUAUGUAUUGUUACACAGUGCUGAGGAUCCAACCCAAUGACUCAUAUGUGCUAGGCAAGUGCUCUACCACUGAGCUACAACCACAGCCCCAGAAUACGGUACUCUUACUUUGGAUUUUUUUUAACUCCUUUCCAUCCUUCUCACAUUUUCAUGCCAUCUGAUAAUCUAUUUCUACCAUUGUUAAUUCCUUUCAUUCACUCUCUGAUUACUUUCCUGGGGCUUCUGAUCACUGUUUUUAUCCCUCACUAAAUGAGGGCUGAAUGUAACAGAGCCAACCUUGGUUUUUGUGUCUUUCCUUUUUUGAUACUGAGAAAGCAGUUCACACAUUGUCUUUCUUAAAAUUAGGUUACAGGUCAGAGAAUGUAGGGAGAAAAGAGAUAAGAGAAGGUCAUCUGAACUCAUAGUUCAAGCUAAGUCAUCACAGAAAAACGAACAAACAAAAAAACCUGCUACACAUUCCUUUUCAACCCGCCAGAGAUUACCAUCAAGGACACAUAGCGUUCUGGUUUUGGAACCAACAAGAAAGUAGCAAAACUUUUCUAUAUGUACUUAACUCCUAUCCCAGGACUUUUCCCACUUCACAAUGCUCAGCGCCUCCUUACUAUAGCCAAUUUUGUUUCAAUGUAAACAAUUUAUGUUUCUUACCCCCAGAAUUUCACUAAAAUACUCUGGUUAGUUCUGGUGGGCAUUUUUUUCCAAUUGCUAUCUGGCCAUGCUGCUGAUGGCUUAGGGAAUUUGUCUUAUGACUAGUCCUUCCACCUUUUAGCUAGCAUCUGAACUGCUCAAUAAAUUCUUUAUUUUCAAAGUCUUCUUAGUAUCAGAGGUUUUGAUUUAACACAAAAAAAUUUGUUUUUUCUUAUUAAACUAUAUUCUCCUUUUGUUUCUUUCUCUAAGGUUGCUUCCAGUUCACCUUAAUUAGAUGCUUAGAUGUUCUCAGUCUCCCCAGCUCUCUUCCUCCCUCUGCAAUCUGUUCAUAUCCAUGAUGUAUAGCUAUUGCUAUCUUAACUCUCAAAAGAACAAGUCUUGGAGAUAUGUGGUGGUCUUUCCUAACAAGCUGGUCUUAUGAAUUAAUUUCUUAGUUUAUUUCCAGAAGCAGAGCUUAGCUUGCUGUCCCUCUUUUUUUUGUUCCUCUAUAAAGGGAUUUGUGUAAUCUAUCAUCUCAUGUUUACAUAUAGCCAAAGUUUUUAUAUCUUGUUGCUUACUCUGAUUCAGCUACCUUUUCCUGGAGGGCUGAUAGAUAUCUCUGCCUCACUCCCUGAUCAAUGUUUUAUUUUGAAAAAAAAAAAUUCAAAUACACAAAAACUUUCAAGGAUAAUAUAGAGAAUACGUUUCUGUAUCUAGAUUAUAUUCACCAAUUAGUAUUUUGCCAAUUGCUUUCUCUCUCUCUCUCUC